CGCCGAGCCUGCCCAGACUCUUCCGGAUUGGAAGUGACCAUGAGGGGCGGUGGUGCGGCCCCACUACCUCAGAGUGAGCGCGAGAGGUGGAAAGAAGGCUGAAUUCACUGGGCUUUUCUUGUCCUUCAGAAUACUGGAAAAAAUGAUCCUUGUGUUUCUUAUGAAUGUGAAGGACUCUUCUGGCUUUGGUUUAGCAUCAGCAAUAUGGGUAACAGUGUUGGGGAAAACUGGACCCUCAUCAUCGUCAUUUCAUGAGAAGGUGAUGGAAAACGCAGAGAGAGCAGAGAAGGACACAACAGUGAAAAUGAAAUACUUUUCUCAUGUUGCCAACACUUGGCUGCAGAAGUGAAUCAUCUCCCUUGAACUGCAUGUUAACUU
This is a long non-coding RNA of Manis javanica (Malayan pangolin), 378 nucleotides long. RefSeq lists it as uncharacterized. The record is from RefSeq and is a predicted model, not a curated record. NCBI's taxonomy places the organism in Eukaryota, Metazoa, Chordata, Mammalia, Pholidota, Manidae.